This 103-nucleotide microRNA precursor is filed under the name Marmota monax (woodchuck). The record is from RNAcentral. Lineage: Eukaryota; Metazoa; Chordata; Mammalia; Rodentia; Sciuridae.
AGUCUGAUUGUUGGGUCGAAUUGCAAGCACAUGUUUAAUUUUGUAAGAAACUGCCAAACUGUUUUCCAAAGUGGCUGUACCACUUUAUAUUCCUACCAGUUAU